AGUGAACGCUGGCGGUAGGCCUAACACAUGCAAGUCGAACGGCAGCACAGUAAGAGCUUGCUCUUACAGGUGGCGAGUGGCGGACGGGUGAGGAGUACAUCGGAAUCUACUUUUUCGUGGGGGAUAACGUAGGGAAACUUACGCUAAUACCGCAUACGACCUACGGGUGAAAGCAGGGGAUCUUCGGACCUUGCGCGAUUGAAUGAGCCGAUGUCGGAUUAGCUAGUUGGCGGGGUAAAGGCCCACCAAGGCGACGAUCCGUAGCUGGUCUGAGAGGAUGAUCAGCCACACUGGAACUGAGACACGGUCCAGACUCCUACGGGAGGCAGCAGUGGGGAAUAUUGGACAAUGGGCGCAAGCCUGAUCCAGCCAUACCGCGUGGGUGAAGAAGGCCUUCGGGUUGUAAAGCCCUUUUGUUGGGAAAGAAAAGCAGCAGGUUAAUACCCCGCUGUUCUGACGGUACCCAAAGAAUAAGCACCGGCUAACUUCGUG
This 492-nucleotide ribosomal RNA is filed under the name uncultured bacterium. RNAcentral describes it as "partial 16S ribosomal RNA". It matches the Rfam family "Bacterial small subunit ribosomal RNA", at positions 29 to 507 of the family's 1533-position model. The record is from RNAcentral.